Molecule: ribosomal RNA, 465 nt
Filed under: Vreelandella stevensii
Lineage: Bacteria; Pseudomonadati; Pseudomonadota; Gammaproteobacteria; Oceanospirillales; Halomonadaceae
Description: partial 16S ribosomal RNA
Rfam family: Bacterial small subunit ribosomal RNA
Source: RNAcentral
CCUACGGGUGGCAGCAGUGGGGAAUAUUGGACAAUGGGGGCAACCCUGAUCCAGCCAUGCCGCGUGUGUGAAGAAGGCCCUCGGGUUGUAAAGCACUUUCAGUGAGGAAGAACGCCUGGUGGUUAAUACCCAUCAGGAAAGACAUCACUCACAGAAGAAGCACCGGCUAACUCCGUGCCAGCAGCCGCGGUAAUACGGAGGGUGCGAGCGUUAAUCGGAAUUACUGGGCGUAAAGCGCGCGUAGGUGGCUUGAUAAGCCGGUUGUGAAAGCCCCGGGCUCAACCUGGGAACGGCAUCCGGAGCUGUCAAGCUAGACGGAGGGAGAGGAAGGUCGCAUGCCCGGUGUAGCGGGGAAAUGCGUAGGGAGCGGGACGAAUACCAGUGGCGAAGGCGGCCUUCUGGAGUGACACUGACCCUGGGGUGCGAAGGCGUGGGUAGCAACCAGGAGUCGAUACCAUAGUGGUC